RNAcentral lists this transfer RNA (60 nucleotides) under Cordylochernes scorpioides. RNAcentral describes it as "tRNA-Ser". It matches the Rfam family "tRNA". Rfam says of the family: Transfer RNA (tRNA) molecules are approximately 80 nucleotides in length. Their secondary structure includes four short double-helical elements and three loops (D, anti-codon, and T loops). Further hydrogen bonds mediate the characteristic L-shaped molecular structure. tRNAs have two regions of fundamental functional importance: the anti-codon, which is responsible for specific mRNA codon recognition, and the 3' end, to which the tRNAs corresponding amino acid is attached (by aminoacyl-tRNA synthetases). tRNAs cope with the degeneracy of the genetic code in two manners: having more than one tRNA (with a specific anti-codon) for a particular amino acid; and 'wobble' base-pairing, i.e. permitting non-standard base-pairing at the 3rd anti-codon position. Lineage: Eukaryota; Metazoa; Arthropoda; Arachnida; Pseudoscorpiones; Chernetidae. The record is from RNAcentral.
GUCCAGGGUAGCCUAGUGGUCAUGGCGGAAGGUCGUGGGUUCGAUUCCCAUCCCUUGACA